Molecule: long non-coding RNA, 8457 nt
Filed under: Sus scrofa (pig)
Lineage: Eukaryota; Metazoa; Chordata; Mammalia; Artiodactyla; Suidae
Description: lncRNA (ENSSSCG00050023376.1)
Source: RNAcentral
UUUUUUUUUUUUACUUCAGAAGCUCUUUUGUUUCUCUGGGAUGUUCCUUUCCCAUAGCAAUCUUGUUCUAGUUCCAGGAAUAUAAAAUUUUCUUAUUUCACUGAUAAUUUUAAUGAUUGUUUCCUUCAUCCUUGAAUAGUUUUAUUAUUCCAAGUAGAUUUUACCUGUUUAUUCUGGCCUCUGUCAUUCAUGUUAUGGGCUUUUCUCAGCAUCUGAGAUCCCAAGGUUAAUAGCUCAUUGUUAAGAGUAGAGAAUUGGACACCUAGAGCUCGGUUUGCAUUUGAGCGUCUCUGAAGCCACUCUGUGGCUGGAUGGUUUGGGAGUAAUGCAUGACCUUGAUGUUUGUAUCUUUCCUCUUAGGCUGGUCGUAUUCUCUAGAAAAGACCCUUUACAUCUGCCUUGGCAGAUAAAGACCAGGUUUGGGCUUUUGAGAGUCGAGAAGGAGAAGCAGGUGGAAGGAUUGGCUCAUUCCGUAGUCCUGGUUUCUGUAAGAUUACAUUGUCUUUUGUCCAAGACACUUCUCACCUUACUCCCUGCAGAAGAUAAUCCUCCAGUUUUCAGUGCCGCAUGGCUGAGGGGGAAGGGCAGCAAGUACCCUGCAAGAAGGGUGGGGUAGGAUUAUUGGUAAGUCGUGUAAAUAAAAAAGUAAGCAAGUAUCAAUUUCAAGAAGAUAAAAAUAUAGCUAUGGAGAAAGAGUAACUACAGUUUGCUAAUGGAUCAGCUAGUGACCUAAUAUUAUCUGUCUCCUUAUUGUGGUUGCCCUCACCUCAGGUACCUUGGGCUGCUAAUUCCUGAGCCUUUGGAAGAUUUUGUUAUGUAAAUGAAAUGAUUUUCUGCCUUUUUUCAGUAGCUAGUUUGGGUGUCCUGUAGUUCCUCUUUGAUCGCUGUGUUUCACAGCUUCCAGAGUCACUUUUCUUUAAUUCUCCAUAUCUUUGUAAACUUAUGCCCUUAAAAUAAAAUUACACACACAUCUUUAUUACAUUUUAGAGAGAUUUUAUGCAAGCGCAAAAUUAGAUGUUUAUUUAACCUGGAAAUGUUGAUAUCCUCUAAAAAAAAGUAUUUGUUUACUUUUGUUUUCUUAUUUACUGUUUUAUCAAGCUCGAUGUUUAAUUUUGUCAAAUCCAAGCAUGCCAAAAUUUCGGAGUCAGAGGGAAGGGUUUCUGCUUUCUAACCAUUGUUAUUUUUAAUUUUUAGUUAUGCCUGGGGUAAUAGCUCUGUGAUGAAGAUUACCCUUCAGCUUUCUCAUCUGAAAGAAGGUUGUUUGCUCUAAGAGCCACUACAUCCAUCCAUGCCUUACUCCAAUUUGAAUUUUCUUUAGACCUCACCCCUGUUAACACAAGAAAUGAAUCAGCUCCUUUGACAUAUGGGUGCUAUUACAAACUCAAGCUAAUCCCCAAGUGACUUUGUAUUUUACUUUGGUGUGUGUCAUUUGUUGAUUGUAUGGAAUUUUAUCCCCAGUCAGAGCUAAAAUCUAGGUAAUAAAAAGGAAAAAUAAUUCAGAGUAUUAGUUAAGCGUUUACUAAACAUUUGCUGAUUACCUGUUAUAGUCAAGGCUCUAUCCUGGGAGCUAUAACGGAAGAGAAUGCUCUUGUUCUUGGAGAGGUUAUACUUUAAAAAAAAGAAACAGGGAACAAACAUGAAAUACCUAGUGAAUAUUGGAGAACCAUUCUUUCCACUUGUUUUACCAGAUGUUUGUCUUUAAAAACAAUCAGGGAAAUAGGAAAUGAAAUUAUUAAUGUAUGUAUUCGCCUUAGAUCUUGGCUUCAUUUUUUAGCCUUUAUAAAAUAGCCCUUUUUUUGGAAUCACAUAAUAUAGUGACAUAAUUAAAAUCUGUACCUGUUAACACUCUUCCAUCAGCAUUUCUUGAAUUUUCAGUAAUUGUUUUUAACCCUCAAAGAUUACUUUAGGAGAAGAAUAUGAUAGAAAAAAAGGUAAUUUGAAAAAAAGGGAAAUGUUUUAUAUUCAGUGCUUUUCUUUCCUUUUACACUUCCGUACAUAGAUUUGAUUCCAUGACUGUUUACCUUCUACAGUACAGAGAGAGAGAGAGAGAAUUGUAUUUCAGUCGUCUAUUGUUCUUGCAGGCAUUUACUUUUGUCAUCUGCUGCUCCUGAGCAUGUUAGUACUGGCAACUCGUUUUCUUCUCUCUUACUGAACUUUGCAACUGCUUCUAAGUUUCUCAAGAAUAUUUCUGAUUUUAUUACUGUGUCCAGAUACUUGGCGUGGCAGUAGGAGUGAAGAGAUGGCUGGUGUUGAUCAGUAGAAAUCUGUAUAUCUUCGCCUUCAGGGCUAAAAUUAUAAUAAAGUCAUACUGCCUAAUGGCAAGACGACGACCUGGAUUGGGUUGUGAUGGUGGUUGUACAACUAUAAAUGUAAUAAAAUCCAUUGAGUUUUUUUAAAAAAAGACUAGGACUUGGGUUUUCUUAUGCCCAGUGUUGUCUCCACUGACCAGACUAAAUUAUUUCAUGAUUUUUCUUUAUACAUCUAUCACUUGUCGAAGUGGAAGCCCUCCAUGACGAAACGGAGCCCUUGCCAAGUGUUCUAAUUUGUUAGCCUUUUUGUCUCUUGGAUAUUUUCCUUCUUUCUGUUUAGGGAAAAUAUUGAGGUUUUGCUUCACAUAGGGAUCAUUUAUGGGAAAUGCUGCUUAUAAUCUGUGAUAAAAGCUGGGAAAGAUAAGCAUGGUUUUGGGGCCAAUCAGAUAAGUUGAAUUCUUGAUAAACUUAUUUUUUCAUCAUGUUGACUCACCUCUGGCAAGUCUCUUAAACUUUCCAGGCUUCAUUUUUCCCAUCUACAGACUGGAAAUAAUAUUUCUAUUCUCCAGCUUAUGGCAGUUUUUUGAGACGACAGUGGGAUAGGAAAUGUGGGAAGGUAGUAAUCUACAGGUGAGUAGUUAGCAUUUGGACUUAAGGAGAGACUUCCAGCAACACUCAGGAUUCUGAGUUAGAGCGAAUGCGAAGAUGAGCGUUAAAGUGACGAAUGAAGGUGGGAGACAUUGGACAACUCGCCUAAAAAUGAAAUUAAGGUAUCUACGCAGUAUGCAGGCUGGAUUCAGUGAUGGAGGAGUUGUAAAAAGUAAGGGGUCCUUAGACUUAACACUGAUUCCGCGGAUGGCUUGUGAUUAAAUUAGAGUGUGUGGGUUUCUGUUUAUAUUAGCAGAAAAGUCUAAAAGAACUCUUACAGAAGGGGCUCUUGAGAGCAGCAAUAGUAGGAAAUGCCUGCUGAGUCGCUUGGUGUACAUAGAAAAGAUGGCGUAUGUGAUCAUUGUGCAAGUCGGAGCGUAACUGUGGCAUUACAAAAGCGCGAGAAAAGUCCUCUGGCCUGAUAAAUAUUUGUCAAGAAUAAACAUAGAACUUAAUUCUCGGUCAUCUCAUGGUAGAUACCCUGGAGCUACAUGUAAAAUCUGCACUUUUCCUUGUGUGUGGGAGGGAGGGGGCUCACAGUGGAAGGUACGUUGUUUUCAUUUAUUCCCACAGCGUCUUGAAGGCUCUUUUUUCUUUUUGAAAUAUAAAGGGUGUGAUUAGGGUAAAAGUGAGGAAAAUAAUCUGAUUUGUAGGAUGAAAAUGUAAAGAAUUAAGACUAAUUGUUAAUGAGUUUCAUUCAUUGUGAUUCUUAAUUGUUGGCAUUAAAGAAGUCUUACAAGUUAGAGUGCACCUGUGAAAAUUAUGAAAAGGUGUUAUUUAAUACGACCUAGACUGAAAUGGCUUACUAGGAAAAAAAAAAUUCAUGAUAAAAAAUACAAACUAAUAUGAGAGGCAUGAGGUAUUUAAGGAAUGAAGUGUUCUGUAUAAGGAGAAUAUCUUUGAGGAGACAAAUCCAUGAGUUGAGAAGUGAAGUUAAACAUUUUCGCUUGGUAAAGUCUUGUAUAUAAGGGUGCUUAAUUUUAUUAGGUAAAGUGGUUUUUCCUAAUCCUAUGAGUCUGUACAGAAACCUCUGAACCCUCAUGAUAUUGACUCUCCAAAUAUGCAAUUCAUGGUUUGAGCAGCCCAUUUGAUCAGUUAUUGUUGUGUUAUGCAGGUAUGCAUAAAUAUAUUAAUUUUGUAAGGAUUUUAAGAUAUGACCAGAUAGAGCCAAGAGCCCUUUUAACUAACCCUUCUUUCAAUAUCUGCUCCUUCCUCAGAGGUACCUGUAGUACUUUGCUUUAUAUCUUUCCAGACCUGUUUCUGUAUAUUUGCACAUAUAUUUGUACCUGUAGAAAAGGUAAUGUGGUGUUUCCUGUGCUUCAUUUCGGAACAUACCACACAAUACUGUUUUAUGACACUUGCUUUUUUCCAUGGGGUGGGGGGAAGCACAUGUCUUGGAGAGCUUUUUGCAUGUUAGUGUAUAUAAAACCACGUUCUUUUAACUGUUGGAGUUUAUUCGCAGGAUGGGAUUUAGCCAUUCCCGAGAUGAGGAACUUUGAGACUGUGUCUGUUUUGUUUUGUUCUCUUCUCAUGUUUUCCAAUGAUACCGCAAUGAACAUCCUAAAACGUUGCCUCAUUGGAAGCAAUAUUACCAAUUAUCAUGAAGCGCUUUCACUUGAUAAUAGGUUGUGAUGAUGAAGAUUUAGUAAACACUUCGAAAUUUUUUUUACUAAAAACAUUACUUAUAGGAGUUCCCACCAUGGCUCAGUGGUUAACGAAUCCAACUAGGAACCGUGAGGUUGCGGGCUCGAUCCCUGGCCUUGCUCAAUGGGUUAAGGAUCUGGCAUUGCCGUGAGCUGUGGUGUAGGUUGCAGACGAGGCUCGGAUCCCGCGUUGCUGUGGCUCUGGUGUAGGCCAGCGGCUAUGGCUCCGAUUGAACCCCUAGCCUGGGAACCUCCAUAUGCUGCAGGAGCAGCCUAAGAAAUGGCAAAAAGACAAAUAAAUAAAUAAAACAUUACUUAUAUCCUGGUAAUGGUGGCAUGAAGAGGCUUGCAGUUCCCCUCUGCAAAAAGCAAAUAUAAAAGCGAACAAAAUUGUCAAAAACAGCCAUUUAGGGGUAGUGGAAGUUGACCCAGGGCAGUUAAAAAACUGAUCUGGCACAGCUGUUGGGACUUGGGGUGAGACCUGCGUGAGUCUGGGGCAUUUUGGCCUGGGUGCCCCCCAGCUCCCUCUCCAGGCAUGCUCCACUACUCUCUCCCCUCUCCUCCCCUCCCGAGUUGGAGAAAACUGAAGCUUUACCAGCUUGGGACUAGAAAAUUGAAAAAAUGGGACUGAGAAAACCAGCAAUUUUGCUGCCAAAUGGUGGAGGUGGAGGAGUAACUUGAUUCGGGGAAGGGAGGAAUGAGAGGGCACAAAAACCUGUGGCUUUGCAAGGUGCAAAGUGGUGGACUUGGUUGGAAACAAAUGGAGAAAACCUGCUGCCUUGCUUGCUCAAGGUUGUGGACCUGGUUUGGGGUGAACAGUGGACCACAAGAAAUUUAAUAGGGAAAAUCCCAGAAAUGAGAGAACCGUAGAAGGGCUGAGAUAUGCUGUCCACACAGCUCUGGUUGAUGGGGAAACUACGUAUGUGAAGGGGAGACCUAAGAGAGCCUGCUGCCAUGUUAAAUGCAUUCCCUGUUCUAUACGCAAAUCAACUGGCAGAGGCUGGACAUCUUAAAGGCUCGAGAUGUUUGAGCACAGCCAUUGCCCAAGUCAUGUGUUGACCAUUAAGCUGUGCAGACAUAAGCACAAUGCGUGGGAAACCAAGCUAAAAAAUAAAAGUAAGAAUUAAAAAACUGAACAGAGAUGUCUCAGCUGCAUACCAUGUAGGGAAACUAAUUCUGCAGUUUAAGUCCAGAUGAAUUACUAAAAAAGACCCAACAUCUCUGAAAAAAUACAAUAAAUCUAGAGCUACUAUAUAAUAAAAGUUCAGUUUUCAAAUAAAAACUGCUGGAUAUGGGGGAAAAAAAAAAACUUAUGAACACAUGACCCAUAAUCAUGUGGAGUCAGGAGUCAGUAGAAACUCCAAGUGGGUUUGAUACUGUAUUUAACAGAGGCUUCACACUGGCUAUUUUAUUUUUUAUUUACUAGGGGUGCACCUGCAGCAUAUGGAAGUUCCCAGGCUAGGGGUUAAAUCGGAGCUACAGCUGCUGGCCUGUGCCAGAGCCACAGCAAUGCUGGAUCCGAGCCAUGUCUGCAAACCUACACCACAGCUCUCGUCAACUGAGCAAGGCCAGGGAUCAAACCUGCAUCCUCAUGGAUUCGUUGGAUUCGUUUCAGCUGAGCCAUGACAGGAACUCCCAAAUGGGCUACUUUAAAUACGUUCAGAGACUUGAAGGACAAUAUGUCAACACUUAGAAGAGAAUACCAAUAGAGAAAUUAGAAAAGAAGAACCAAAUAGAAAUUUUAGAUUUGAAAAGUACAAUAAUUGAAAUGAAAAUUUCAUUGGAUAGGCUCAGUAAUAGAUUUGAGGUGGCAGAGAAAACCUGAAGGUCAGUAAAAGAGUAUUCAGUCCAAAGAAGAGAGAAAAAAUACUAAGAAAGGUACACAGAGCCUCAGAGACCUGUGGGUCAGUGUCAGACAUUUCAACGUAGAUGUAAUGAGAGUUCCAGACAGAAAGGAAGGAGGAAAAGAGGCAGAGAACAAUUAUCUGAAGAAAUAGCGGCACCAAACCUCCCCAGAUUUCAUGGAAAAUAAACCUUAAAGGGUUCCGGUAAGAUGGAGUAAGCACUGUACUCCUUGUUUCUGCCACUGAAUGUGCAGCUGCAACAACAGACAGCACGCGGAGUGAAUGUGCAGCUGCAAGACUGGACAGGGUGCAAAGGCAGUAGUAGCAGACGGGUUGAAAAAGACAACGUGAAAUUUAUGUACCAUUGAAUCAAUUGUAGGUUUACUUUUUUAGCUUUGGUAUUCCCUGCACCUAUCCCCAAACCCAGAGCAAUCAGAACGGACAGAUAGAACUCCAGAAACUUGCUGGUUCUGGCUUAAAGAGCAAGAUGCUCAGCAGGAGUGCAGAAAUCUCUCUCUCUCUUCCCCCUCUCUCUUUCCCUAUGUUUUCUUGCCCCCAGGAGAUCCUUUGGCAGCAGUGUUGAAGCAGUGACAACAGCCAAGAGGAGCCUAACUAAAAACUCCUAAGCAAGAAACCUUCCUCUUCAGUUGGAGGAAUUACAGUUCCUGUUGUUUUGUGUGUGUGUUUUCCUGUGUUGUUUUAUUGCCUGAACCAGGUCAGGAGCCCAGCUAUAGAAAGGUCUCUGCAGGAUGGGUUAAGCUAUACCUCACAUUUCCGGUUGGAGGAUCAGGAAAGAGCAUCCCAGACAACUUGAAGUGCCGGGCAGAUUACAGAGGAGGUUUGAAAAGAGACUUCUUAAAGUUGUUUGUGCAUGUGAGGUUUGCCCAGGGAGGAAUGCGCAAGGCCAAGUUGGUGAAAACAGGAGAGAUUUAUUAAGGCAUCGCAGAGGAAUGGGCUGAGCUCAAGGCGGCACCAGCCCUGACUGAGGAGGUGCCAGGCUCGUCAAGGAUCCGUGGCAGAAUCUGUGGCUGGAGUUCCUGGCGGGAUCUUGUGGCAGAAGCGAUGGGGAAGGAGGAGGGGAAGGGCAAGGGGGGAGGAGGAGGCGUUAAUCCUCGUAGGGUAACCUUCGCAGGCGGUUGUUUUCCGAAGGCCGUUGUUGCUGCCCAGCUUAAGCCUCCACAUUCUGGAAAGGGUGUAGAUUUUGUGCUGGGCUGUUGCCAUGUCCACAGCAGGUCUCCAGUGGGAACAGCCACAUUCCGGGGGCGGGGGGUUGAGGAGGGUCUGUCUCCACCCUCCUUGGACCCUCUCAGUGCACGCCUGGGCUCAUCUGUGAGAUGUGCAUACAUGGAUCUGACUCAGAAGAACAUACAUAGAUGUUUAGUACUGAAAUAGCAGUAGACCGCCAACUAAGUCCCCACUGGCUAGUGGGUGGUACAUAUGUGGGACAGAGUCAAAUAACACUGAAAGUUUUGAACAGUUUACUGGUUUCUUAUAAAGUUUAAUACCACUAACCAUGUGAUUUAGCCAUCUCUUCGGUAUUUACCCAAGAGAAAUGAAAACUUAAGCUCAUAAACAAGGGUGCCGACAAGCAUGGAAGGCUGAACUAAAAUGGCAUUGGUACCUUAGAGGGUCAGAAUUUGAGACCUGAACUCAGCUGAGUCAGUUGCUUGCUAAAACAAAAAUAUCGGCACUCUGCUUAAGAUUUCAAUAAGACAGAGGCGUAUAUUAUUAACAAUGUACAGCAUACAAUUCAGAAUUCCUUGGCAUAUGAAGAACCUUGGAAAACCUUAACUCACAUGAACAAAGAUAAUCAUCAGACAUCAGCACUGAGACGGCACAGAUGUAGGAUUCAUCUGAGAAAGAUUUAAAGCAGGUUUUAUAAACAUGCUUCAAUAAGUGAGGGCGAGUGCUCUUGGAAUGAACGAAAAUAUAGAAUGUCUCAGUAAAGAAAAACUAAAUGGAAAUUUUGGAACUAAAAAAUAAAAUUCCUUGGACAAGCACAAUAGCAGAAUGGAGAUGACAGUUCAUGAACUUGAAGAUAGGAUCAAUAGAAAUUUAUCCAAAUUGAAAAAA